RNAcentral lists this ribosomal RNA (440 nucleotides) under uncultured bacterium. RNAcentral describes it as "partial 16S ribosomal RNA". It matches the Rfam family "Bacterial small subunit ribosomal RNA", at positions 338 to 795 of the family's 1533-position model. The record is from RNAcentral.
CCUACGGGAGGCAGCAGUGGGGAAUAUUGCACAAUGGGGGAAACCCUGAUGCAGCGACGCCGCGUGAGUGAAGAAGUAUUUCGGUAUGUAAAGCUCUAUCAGCAGGGAAGAAAAUGACGGUACCUGAUUAAGAAGCCCCGGCGAACUACGUGCCAGCAGCCGCGGUAAUACGUAGGGGGCAAGCGUUAUACGGAUUUACUGGGUGUAAAGGGAGCGUAGGCGGCAGCACAAGUCUGGAGGGAAAUGCCGGGGCUUAACCCCGGAACUGCAUUGGAAACUGUGCAGCUAGAGGGCAGGAGAGGUAAGUGGAAUUCCUAGUGUAGCGGUGAAAUGCGUAGAUAUUAGGAGGAACACCAGUGGCGAAGGCGGCUUACUGGACUGUAACUGACGUUGAGGCUCGAAAGCGUGGGGAGCAAACAGGAUUAGAUACCCUUGUAGUC